GGCGGCGUGCUUAACACAUGCAAGUCGAACGAUGACGAUGGUGCUUGCACCGUCUGAUUAGUGGCGAACGGGUGAGUAACACGUGAGUAACCUGCCCUCCUCUUCGGGAUAACCGCCGGAAACGGUGGCUAAUACCGGAUAUGAAUGCCUGCCGCAUGGUGGGUGUUGGAAAGAUUUAUCGGUGGGGGAUGGACUCGCGGCCUAUCAGUUUGUUGGUGAGGUAAUGGCUCACCAAGGCGAUGACGGGUAGCCGGCCUGAGAGGGCGACCGGCCACACUGGGACUGAGACACGGCCCAGACUCCUACGGGAGGCAGCAGUGGGGAAUAUUGCACAAUGGGCGAAAGCCUGAUGCCAGCGACGCCGCGUGGGGGAUGACGGCCUUCGGGUUGUAAACCUCUUUCAGCAGGGAAGAAGCGAGAGUGACGGUACCUGCAGAAGAAGCGCCGGCUAACUACGUGCCAGCCGCUGC
Molecule: ribosomal RNA, 470 nt
Filed under: uncultured bacterium
Lineage: Bacteria
Description: bacterial SSU rRNA
Rfam family: Bacterial small subunit ribosomal RNA
Source: RNAcentral